GUGCUCGCUUUGGCAGCACAUAUACUAAAAUUGGAGCUAUACAGAGAUUAGCAGGGCCCCGUGCAAGGAUGAAAAGCAAAUCCAUGAAGCGCUACAUAUAUAU
Small nuclear RNA from Jaculus jaculus (lesser Egyptian jerboa), 103 nucleotides. The record is from Ensembl. NCBI's taxonomy places the organism in Eukaryota, Metazoa, Chordata, Mammalia, Rodentia, Dipodidae.